GAUGAACGCUGGCGGCGUGCCUAAUACAUGCAGGUCGAGCGAACAGACGAGGAGCUUGCUCCUCUGACGUUAGCGGCGGACGGGUGAGUAACACGUGGAUAACCUACCUAUAAGACUGGGAUAACUUCGGGAAACCGGAGCUAAUACCGGAUAAUAUAUUGAACCGCAUGGUUCAAUAGUGAAAGACGGUUUUGCUGUCACUUAUAGAUGGAUCCGCGCCGCAUUAGCUAGUUGGUAAGGUAACGGCUUACCAAGGCAACGAUGCGUAGCCGACCUGAGAGGGUGAUCGGCCACACUGGAACUGAGACACGGUCCAGACUCCUACGGGAGGCAGCAGUAGGGAAUCUUCCGCAAUGCGCGAAAGCCUGACGGAGCAACGCCGCGUGAGUGAUGAAGGUCUUCGGAUCGUAAAACUCUGUUAUUAGGGAAGAACAAAUGUGUAAGUAACUAUGCACGUCUUGACGGUACCUAAUCAGAAAGCCACGGCUAACUACGUG
This 497-nucleotide ribosomal RNA is filed under the name uncultured bacterium. RNAcentral describes it as "partial 16S ribosomal RNA". It matches the Rfam family "Bacterial small subunit ribosomal RNA", at positions 28 to 507 of the family's 1533-position model. The record is from RNAcentral.